RNAcentral lists this transfer RNA (77 nucleotides) under Pseudomonadota bacterium. Its description in RNAcentral is "Proteobacteria bacterium tRNA-Met". It matches the Rfam family "tRNA". Rfam says of the family: Transfer RNA (tRNA) molecules are approximately 80 nucleotides in length. Their secondary structure includes four short double-helical elements and three loops (D, anti-codon, and T loops). The record is from RNAcentral. Lineage: Bacteria; Pseudomonadati; Pseudomonadota. RNAcentral also lists the same sequence under 3 other names.
CGCGGGGUGGAGCAGCCUGGUAGCUCGUCGGGCUCAUAACCCGAAGGUCGUUGGUUCGAAUCCAGCCCCCGCUACCA